GACGAACGCUGGCGGCGUGCUUAACACAUGCAAGUCGAACGGUAAAGCGCCUUCCUUUUUGGUUGGUGGGGAGGAGUGGCGAACGGGUGAGUAACACGUGACUAACCUUCCCCCUGCUUCUGGAUAACCGCAUGAAAGUGUGUCUAAUACGGGAUAUUCUGGGUCUGUCGCAUGGUGGGUCUGGGACAGCUAUUGUGUCUGUGGGGGAUGGUCUGGCGGCCUAUCAGCUUGUUGGUGGGGUGAUGGCCUAGCACGGCGGUGACGGGUAGACGGCCUGAGAGGGUGGACGGUCACACAGGGACUCAGACAAGGCUCGGACUCAUACGGGAGGCAGAAGUGGGGAAUAUUGCACAAUGGGCGAAAGCGUGAUGCAGCGACGCCGCGUGAGGGAUGGCGGCCUUCGGGUUGUGACCGUCUUUGGCCAGUGAAGCAGGCCUGCCUGGUUUGUGGGUGGGUUGACGGUAGCUGGAUAAGAAGCGCCGGCUAACUACGUG
This 494-nucleotide ribosomal RNA is filed under the name uncultured bacterium. RNAcentral's name for it is "partial 16S ribosomal RNA". It matches the Rfam family "Bacterial small subunit ribosomal RNA", at positions 28 to 507 of the family's 1533-position model. The record is from RNAcentral.